AACGAACGCUGGCGGCAUGCCUAACACAUGCAAGUCGAACGAGACCUUCGGGUCUAGUGGCGCACGGGUGCGUAACGCGUGGGAACCUGCCCUUAGGUUCGGAAUAACUCCCCGAAAGGGGUGCUAAUACCGGAUAAUGUCUUCGGACCAAAGAUUUAUCGCCUUUGGAUGGGCCCGCGUUGGAUUAGCUAGUUGGUAGGGUAAAAGCCUACCAAGGCGACGAUCCAUAGCUGGUCUGAGAGGAUGAUCAGCCACACUGGGACUGAGACACGGCCCAGACUCCUACGGGAGGCAGCAGUGGGGAAUAUUGGACACUGGGCGAAAGCCUGAUCCAGCCAUGCCGCGUGAGUGCUGAAGGCCUUAGGGUUGUAAAGCUCUUUUACCCGGGAUGAUAAUGACAGUACCGGGAGAAUAAGCUCCGGCUAACUACGUG
This 433-nucleotide ribosomal RNA is filed under the name uncultured bacterium. RNAcentral describes it as "partial 16S ribosomal RNA". It matches the Rfam family "Bacterial small subunit ribosomal RNA", at positions 29 to 507 of the family's 1533-position model. The record is from RNAcentral.